CUAAUAGCGUAUACUAAAAUUGCUGCAGUUAAAAAGUUCGUAGUCUGACCUCGAGGUCUAUGGGGUUCCGGUCCACCCCUGACGGGGCGCGCACCGACCUCAUAGCCUCUCGUCUUCCAGCUGUUGCUCCCUGCUCUUGACCGAGCGGGUCCGAGCGGCACUGGAUCGGUUACUUUGAGAAAAAUAAGGUGUUCCAAGCAAACGUUCGUUAGUUCGUCCG
This 220-nucleotide ribosomal RNA is filed under the name uncultured fungus. RNAcentral describes it as "partial small subunit ribosomal RNA". It matches the Rfam family "Eukaryotic small subunit ribosomal RNA", at positions 593 to 816 of the family's 1831-position model. Lineage: Eukaryota; Fungi. The record is from RNAcentral.